AGGACAUUCAUCAUAGCAUCCAGCAAAUGGAAAACUACUAAAUUGUUGAUACUGCAUAGAUCUAUGAGCAUGUCCUUGGGAUAUAAAUCUGGAAAGUAGGACAGUGGUGGGCUCAGGCUCCAGGCAUCUCUUGAUCACUAAAACAUCUUUUCUUCAUGUCCUUCCCAUCCCCCUUCUUCCCCAUCUCUUUGUCUCGCACAGGCCAGCCCUGCGCCAAUAAUCGUCAACACCGACACGCUGGAGUCGGUACCUUAUGUCAACGGCACAGAAAUUGAGUAUGAAUUUGAAGAAAUCACUCUUGAGCGGGUG
This is a long non-coding RNA of Thalassophryne amazonica, 309 nucleotides long. RefSeq lists it as uncharacterized. The transcript has 2 exons. The record is from RefSeq and is a predicted model, not a curated record. NCBI's taxonomy places the organism in Eukaryota, Metazoa, Chordata, Actinopteri, Batrachoidiformes, Batrachoididae.